Molecule: long non-coding RNA, 2388 nt
Filed under: Mus musculus (house mouse)
Lineage: Eukaryota; Metazoa; Chordata; Mammalia; Rodentia; Muridae
Description: long non-coding RNA chr9:64899295-64901683
Source: RNAcentral
GCAUUGACAAUCCCUAGGUAGACUGUAAAACCUAGAAUUGAUUUGGCUCAAUCUGUGAUUAAAUUACAAUAAUCAGUUUUUAUUUAGCACAAGAAAGAAUAUACUCUUCUUGAAGGAAUAAAAUCCCUGGAGUCGUUAUCAGAAGUAAGUAAUGGAAACAGAACCCCAAAAGAUCCAGAUAUUUGUAUUAGCAAGGGACAUUUAGGUAAUUUUCAAAUAUCCAAGGAAAUAAAGGAAAAGAAACAGAAAUUAUAUAAAUGGAGAAUUUCACAAGGUAAUGAGGAUCUUUUGGAGGAAAAAGAAGAAACAAGUGUAAACCAUAAAACUGAAAAAUAAAUUGAGAACACAAUAGAUAAAUUUGAUAGCAAAUAAAACAAAUUGAAAGAUUAGAGAUGCCACUUAAAAAUAUCUGUACUGAAUCAGAGAUAGAAAAAUACUUAAGAAAUAUAGAUAUGUAGAUAUCUAAGUUGGUAUUCCUUGCCUUACAAGGACCUGAGUAUGACCCCUAGACCUCACGUUAGAAUCAACCAGCUAUAGUGGUAGCACACUUGCAAUCCCAGUGCUGCCGGGCAGGGCGGGCGAGACAGGCAGAUGCCUAGGGCCUGGCCAGCUAGCCUAGCCUAUGUCCUGACUUCCAAGCAAGUAAGACUUUCAGGUUGCUCUCUGUUGCUGUUGUAAAGACCAUGACAGAGCAGUUUUAGAGAGGAAAAAUAUCUGUACUGAAUCAGAGAUAGAAAAAUAUUUAAGAAAUAUAGAUAUGUAGAUAUUGGCUUCGUGUUCCAAUUACAUUUCAGUCCAUCUUUGAGGGAGGUCAGGGCAAGAACUCAAGGGCGAGAGCAGAGGCAGAGCCAUGGAGGACACUCCUUACUAACCUGCUCCCAUGAGUUGCUGAUCCUGCUCCCUCUCGCCACUCAGGACGGCCUGCCCAGGGCCACCUCCACCCACAGCACUCCAAGGUCUUUGCCCAUAGAUUUGCCUACAGGCUAAUCUGAUUGGGGCAUUUUUAAAUUGAGGUCCCUCUUCCCAGAUAACUCUAGUUUGUGUCCUGUUGCUGGUGAGGUGGGGGCACAAAACAAAACAAAAACAACCAGCACAAAGACCCAGUCCUAAAAUAAAUACAACAACAAAAAUAGGCAAAGCCCUCAUCAGGAGUCUCCCGGCUUCAGCAGGCCUGGCACUUCCGGCUUCUGCGGGCACCCACACUCAUGUGUACGUAUCAUCCAUAUAAUUUAAAUGGGUUAGGUUCUUGGCAUGUGGGAGCAGCACUCGAGGCUGUCCUCCCCCUCUGCGUGCACUCAUCCUCCUGUGCAGCAAAAAGAAAUGUUUAAAAACUUCAGGUGAUAGUUUGAAUCCACUGUGAUAGUGUAAGACAAUUUCAGCCCAUCCUACAUCUAUUUGCUAUAAAUAAUAGAAAGUAUAUAAAAACAACUAAAAAUUCUGCAAAGUAAGAAAGAACUGAUGAAGUCCAAGGAAGGACCCCCACAGAGACAAGUUUCCUAUUCUCUCUUCCAAUACCUCCUGACCCCAAGGGCAGUUAAGUGGACCAUCAUAGCUCUAAAAACUAAAGUCAUGGGGUUGGGGAUUUAGCUCAGUGGUAAAGUGCUUGCCUAGCAAGCCCAAGGCCCUGGGUUCGGUCCUCAGCUCCGGAAAAAAGAAAAAAAGAAAAAAAAGAAAAAAAAGAAAAAAAAAAAAAACUAAAGUCAUAGGAGAGCCCAUAUUUUAUGUAAAAAAGAAUCAGGAAAGAGGCCUCUGUAGGCUAAAGAGUUUGAAGGGAAUCCUAUUUAAGUCUCAGCAUAAUUCUUAAUUUACACACAUAAGAGAUAGAUGCAGACUUACAGAGAAGACUGAGUUAAAAAUCUUCCGACAAAGAACAAAACACAAAAACACAACCUGAAUACAAUUUAAUAUUGGGCUAAAACUAAAGCAUCCAUAUUCAAAAUAUUAUUACAGGAUUCAUGCUACACAAAGCUAAUAUUCACAAUAGCCAAGGUGAGAGGGUGAUGGUGAUGGUGAUGGUGAUGAUGGUGAUGGUGAUGGUGAUGAUAUAGAUGAGCAUGGUGGCAUGUGCCUGUAAUCCCAUGGGAUAGAGAGUCAGAGGAAUCUGGAGGCUGAGGUCAUCCUCAGCUACAGUAUAUAGUGAUUUCAGUGCUAGCCUGGGCUACAUGAAACCGUCCCUCAUAAAGGCUGUUGGAAAGAACCAGAAAGGCUAGGCAUAGUAGUGCACACCUUUUAGUUCCAGUGAUCAGGAGUCUGAGGAAAGAUUAUCCUUAGGUGUAGACUAAGGGGAGUUGUCCUCUGACUUCCACUUCUGUACAUAUCAUAAGCAAACGGCUAACAACCAAAGCCAGCCAUACAAAAACAACUGAGGCUGUACAGGUAAACCUUGGC